RNAcentral lists this ribosomal RNA (253 nucleotides) under uncultured bacterium. RNAcentral's name for it is "partial 16S ribosomal RNA". It matches the Rfam family "Bacterial small subunit ribosomal RNA", at positions 524 to 776 of the family's 1533-position model. The record is from RNAcentral.
UACGUAGGGACCAAGCGUUGUUCGGAUUUACUGGGCGUAAAGGGCGCGUAGGCGGCUUGACAAGUCACUUGUGAAAUCUCCGGGCUUAACUCGGAACGGCCAAGUGAAACUGUCAUGCUAGAGUGCAGAAGGGGCAAUCGGAAUUCUUGGUGUAGCGGUGAAAUGCGUAGAUAUCAAGAGGAACACCUGAGGUGAAGACGGGUUGCUGGGCUGACACUGACGCUGAGGCGCGAAGGCGUGGGGAGCGAACGGG